Molecule: ribosomal RNA, 997 nt
Filed under: Salmonella enterica subsp. enterica serovar Dublin
Lineage: Bacteria; Pseudomonadati; Pseudomonadota; Gammaproteobacteria; Enterobacterales; Enterobacteriaceae
Description: partial 23S ribosomal RNA
Rfam family: Bacterial large subunit ribosomal RNA
Source: RNAcentral
CGCGCGAUACAGGGUGACAGCCCCGUACACAAAAGCGUAUGUGCUGUGAGCUCGAUGAGUAGGGCGGGACACGUGGUAUCCUGUCUGAAUAUGGGGGGACCAUCCUCCAAGGCUAAAUACUCCUGACUGACCGAUAGUGAACCAGUACCGUGAGGGAAAGGCGAAAAGAACCCCGGCGAGGGGAGUGAAAAAGAACCUGAAACCGUGUACGUACAAGCAGUGGGAGCCCCACCACUAAGCCAGUGGUGAACUCCACAUACGCAUCCUUUGCUGAGGAUACGGUUAACGGAGCGAAAGCGACGUUCAACCGCAAAAGAAGCAGAGGGGGCUUAGUGGUGGGGUGACUGCGUACCUUUUGUAUAAUGGGUCAGCGACUUAUAUUCUGUAGCAAGGUUAACCGAAUAGGGGAGCCGGAGGGAAACCGAGUCUUAACCGGGCGUUAAGUUGCAGGGUAUAGACCCGAAACCCGGUGAUCUAGCCAUGGGCAGGUUGAAGGUUGGGUAACACUAACUGGAGGACCGAACCGACUAAUGUUGAAAAAUUAGCGGAUGACCUGUGGCUGGGGGUGAAAGGCCAAUCAAACCGGGAGAUAGCUGGUUCUCCCCGAAAGCUAUUUAGGUAGCGCCUCGUGAAUUCAUCUCCGGGGGUAGAGCACUGUUUCGGCUAGGGGGCCAUCCCGGCUUACCAACCCGAUGCAAACUGCGAAUACCGGAGAAUGUUAUCACGGGAGACACACGGCGGGUGCUAACGUCCGUCGUGAAGAGGGAAACAACCCAGACCGCCAGCUAAGGUCCCAAAGUCAUGGUUAAGUGGGAAACGAUGUGGGAAGGCCCAGACAGCCAGGAUGUUGGCUUAGAAGCAGCCAUCAUUUAAAGAAAGCGUAAUAGCUCACUGGUCGAGUCGGCCUGCGCGGAAGAUGUAACGGGGCUAAACCAUGCACCGAAGCUGCGGCAGCGAACGUAUCACUUAAAGCGAUUCAGCGGGUUACGAUUGACGG